This 630-nucleotide ribosomal RNA is filed under the name uncultured bacterium. Its description in RNAcentral is "bacterial SSU rRNA". It matches the Rfam family "Bacterial small subunit ribosomal RNA", at positions 338 to 1430 of the family's 1533-position model. The record is from RNAcentral.
CCUACGGGAGGCAGCAGUAGGGAAUCUUCCGCAAUGGACGAAAGUCUGACGGAGCAACGCCGCGUGAACGAUGAAGGCCUUCGGGUCGUAAAGUUCUGUUGUUAGGGAAGAACAAGUGCUAGUUAAAUAAGCUGGCACCUUGACGGUACCUAACCAGAAAGCCACGGCUAACUACGUGCCAGCAGCCGCGGUAAUACGUAGGUGGCAAGCGUUGUCCGGAAUUAUUGGGCGUAAAGCGCGCGCAGGCGGUUUCUUAAGUCUGAUGUGAAAGCCCCCGGCUCAACCGGGGAGGGUCAUUGGAAACUGGGAAACUUGAGUGCAGAAGAGGAAAGUGGAAUUCCAAGUGUAGCGGUGAAAUGCGUAGAGAUUUGGAGGAACACCAGUGGCGAAGGCGACUUUCUGGUCUGUAACUGACGCUGAGGCGCGAAAGCGUGGGGAGCAAACAGGAUUAGAUACCCUGGUAGUCCACGCUGUAAACGAUGAGUGCUAAGUGUUAGAGGGUUUCCGCCUUUAGUGCUGAAGUUACGCAUUAAGCACUCCGCCGUGGGUAGGUACGGUCGCGAGACUAGAACUACAANAGAAGUUAGUACGGCGUGAGACGUGCCGACGGACGACGACGAGGGAGGUAGG